UACGGGGGGGGCAAGCGUUGUUCGGAAUUACUGGGCGUAAAGGGCUCGUAGGCGGCUAACUAAGUCGGACGUGAAAUCCCUCAGCUUAACUGGGGAACUGCGUCCGAUACUGGAUGGCUUGGAUUUGGGAGAGGGAUGCGGAAUUCCAGGUGUAGCGGUGAAAUGCGUUGAUAUCAGAAGGAACGCCGGUGGCGAAAGCGACGGACUGGACCUCUUCUGACGCUGAGGCGCGAAAGCCAGGGGAGCAAACGGG
RNAcentral lists this ribosomal RNA (253 nucleotides) under uncultured bacterium. Its description in RNAcentral is "partial 16S ribosomal RNA". It matches the Rfam family "Bacterial small subunit ribosomal RNA", at positions 524 to 776 of the family's 1533-position model. The record is from RNAcentral.